This 594-nucleotide ribosomal RNA is filed under the name Priestia aryabhattai. Its description in RNAcentral is "bacterial SSU rRNA". It matches the Rfam family "Bacterial small subunit ribosomal RNA", at positions 173 to 747 of the family's 1533-position model. The record is from RNAcentral. Lineage: Bacteria; Bacillati; Bacillota; Bacilli; Caryophanales; Bacillaceae.
GAUCUUCUCCUUCAUGGGAGAUGAUUGAAAGAUGGUUUCGGCUAUCACUUACAGAUGGGCCCGCGGUGCAUUAGCUAGUUGGUGAGGUAACGGCUCACCAAGGCAACGAUGCAUAGCCGACCUGAGAGGGUGAUCGGCCACACUGGGACUGAGACACGGCCCAGACUCCUACGGGAGGCAGCAGUAGGGAAUCUUCCGCAAUGGACGAAAGUCUGACGGAGCAACGCCGCGUGAGUGAUGAAGGCUUUCGGGUCGUAAAACUCUGUUGUUAGGGAAGAACAAGUACGAGAGUAACUGCUCGUACCUUGACGGUACCUAACCAGAAAGCCACGGCUAACUACGUGCCAGCAGCCGCGGUAAUACGUAGGUGGCAAGCGUUAUCCGGAAUUAUUGGGGCGUAAAGCGCGCGCAGGCGGUUUCUUAAGUUCUGAUGGUGAAAGCCCACGGCUCAACCGUGGAGGGUCCAUUGGRAACUGGGGAACUUGAGUGGCAGAAGAGAAAAGCGGAAUUCCACGUGGUAGCGGUGAAAUGCGUAGAGAUUGUGGAGGAACACCAGUGGGCGAAGGGCGGCUUUUUGGUCUGUAACUGGACGCU